GCUUAACACAUGCAAGUCUACUUGAACUUCGGUUUGGGUGGCGGACGGGUGAGUAACGCGUAAAGGACUUGCCUCACAGUUAGGGACAACAUUUGGAAACGAAUGCUAAUACCUGAUAUUAUGAUUUUAGGGCAUCCUAAGAUUAUGAAAGUUAUAUACGCUGUGAGAGAGCUUUGCGUCCCAUUAGCUAGUUGGAGAGGUAACGGCUCACCAAGGCGAUGAUGGGUAGCCGGCCUGAGAGGGUGAACGGCCACAAGGGGACUGAGACACGGCCCUUACUCCUACGGGAGGCAGCAGUGGGGAAUAUUGGACAAUGGACCAAAAGUCUGAUCCAGCAAUUCUGUGUGCACGAUGACGUUUUUCGGAAUGUAAAGUGCUUUCAGUUGGGAAGAAAAAAAUGACGGUACCAACAGAAGAAGUGACGGCUAAAUACGUGCCAGCAGCCGCGGUAAUACGUAUGUCACAAGCGUUAUCCGGAUUUAUUGGGCGUAAAGCGCGUCUAGGUGGUUAUGUAAGUCUGAUGUGAAAAUGCAGGGCUCAACUCUGUAUUGCGUUGGAAACUGCAUGACUAGAGUACUGGAGAGGUAAGCGGAACUACAAGU
This 602-nucleotide ribosomal RNA is filed under the name uncultured Fusobacteriota bacterium. RNAcentral describes it as "bacterial SSU rRNA". It matches the Rfam family "Bacterial small subunit ribosomal RNA", at positions 46 to 674 of the family's 1533-position model. Lineage: Bacteria; Fusobacteriati; Fusobacteriota. The record is from RNAcentral.